Molecule: long non-coding RNA, 900 nt
Filed under: Capra hircus (goat)
Lineage: Eukaryota; Metazoa; Chordata; Mammalia; Artiodactyla; Bovidae
Description: lncRNA (ENSCHIG00000007587.1)
Source: RNAcentral
AUUGAAAGCACCAGUGAGCUCCAGGCCGUUACUUUGAAGUCCUGGGCAUGUUGAUUAAUGAGUCACAAGCUGGCAGAGCUCCAGCCUUUCAGGACCGGGUUUCCAAUGUCCUUGCUGCUGCUUUCUGCUGUUCAGACGCUUCCAAGUCAAUUGUGAAGGCCAUGAGGCUCCGACCCUGCCCGCCAGUGAGAUCUCUGGUCCCCAGGAUGAGCCCAGGACCUGGCUGUUGCUGUCACCACCCUGACCUGCAGAGAAGCUCCAGACUCGAAUCCCGAGACUGGGGCUCCUUCCCCAGCAAGGCAAGGCAGAGACUGACAAGAGGCGGGCUUUGAGACUGCUGAAGAGUUCAUUUUACCGAUUCACACGCGGAGGCUGAUAGCGUUUCAGUAAUUUACCCGGUAAAUUUCCCUUUGUUAUAAGAGGUGGGGCUGGGAUUGAGCUAAGAGAAUUCUUUUCCUCUGUAACACUGAUUGCCCAAGAUAGGGGUUCCCCAAAGUAUGAAACUCAGGAACAGCUGAGAGCUUUAAAAAAUACAUGGAUUUCUAACUGCCACCAUAACCCUAAUCAACUAGAAUCAGGGGUGUAAAUUAGGAGAAAUUAUAUUAAAAAAAAAUGUUUGCUUAUCUGUUUGUUUGUCAAAUUCUGAUGCUCAACCCUGCUUGGAAAAUGUAGAAUUAGGCAGACCUCAUAUUCAGAAGGAUCUGAAGCGGCUUCACGCAGUCAAGUGGGUACCUAUGACUAAUGCCGUGGUUCUCAGAGGGUGGUCCUUACACGGCAGCUUCAGCUCACUUGGGAACUUGUUAAAGAUGGCAGGGCCUCAGCCAGAACUACCUAAUGAGAAUCCAAGUGGUACCUAGAAAUCUGUGCUUGUAAUUCUUCUGGGCGAUCCCAACGUUUGCU